GGGGAUAUAGCUAAGUGGUAGAGCAUUUGCCUAGCAUGCACAGGACCUGGGUUCAAUCCCUAGCACCA
RNAcentral lists this transfer RNA (68 nucleotides) under Dipodomys ordii (Ord's kangaroo rat). It matches the Rfam family "tRNA". From Rfam's summary of the family: Transfer RNA (tRNA) molecules are approximately 80 nucleotides in length. Their secondary structure includes four short double-helical elements and three loops (D, anti-codon, and T loops). Further hydrogen bonds mediate the characteristic L-shaped molecular structure. tRNAs have two regions of fundamental functional importance: the anti-codon, which is responsible for specific mRNA codon recognition, and the 3' end, to which the tRNAs corresponding amino acid is attached (by aminoacyl-tRNA synthetases). tRNAs cope with the degeneracy of the genetic code in two manners: having more than one tRNA (with a specific anti-codon) for a particular amino acid; and 'wobble' base-pairing, i.e. permitting non-standard base-pairing at the 3rd anti-codon position. The record is from Rfam by way of RNAcentral. Lineage: Eukaryota; Metazoa; Chordata; Mammalia; Rodentia; Heteromyidae.